CUCUCUCUCUCUCUCUCUCGCUCUUUUUCCUUGUGUAAAUGAACCAAGCCGUUUGUGAGCUACUCAAGACUCGGCUCGAUAAAAGUUCAGCUCGGUUCGACUUAUUUUCUAAACUAGCCGAACUCGAACUUGAAUUUUAGGCUCAUUUAAUAAACAAGUCGAGCUUGAACUUAGUAGUAUUUGGCUUGAGCUUGAGUUCGAACUCAACUUGUUUACAGGCUCGCGAGUUAGACCAUUGAACAGACUCACAAUCUGGCUUGUUAAACAGGCUUGUGAACUAGCUCGUGAAUAAAUUCGUAAAUAAGCUCAUUUUAAGGCUCGUUUAUAAGCUCAUGAACUAGCUCAUUUAUAAAAACAUUUAUAAUAAUAAUUA
RNAcentral lists this unclassified non-coding RNA (373 nucleotides) under Hevea brasiliensis (rubber tree). Lineage: Eukaryota; Viridiplantae; Streptophyta; Magnoliopsida; Malpighiales; Euphorbiaceae. The record is from RNAcentral.